AGUGAAAUAGAACCUGAAACCGUGUGCCUACAACAAGUUCGAGCCCGUUAAUGGGUGAGAGCGUGCCUUUUGUAGAAUGAACCGGCGAGUUACGAUAUGAUGCGAGGUUAAGUUGAAGAGACGGAGCCGUAGGGAAACCGAGUCUUAAUAGGGCGCAUUAGUAUCAUGUCGUAGACCCGAAACCAUGUGACCUACCCAUGAGCAGGUUGAAGGUGAGGUAAAACUCACUGGAGGACCGAACCAGGGCACGUUGAAAAGUGCUUGGAUGACUUGUGGGUAGCGGAGAAAUUCCAAACGAACUUGGAGAUAGCUGGUUCUCUCCGAAAUAGCUUUAGGGCUAGCGUCGAUGUUAAGUCUCUUGGAGGUAGAGCACUGUUUGGGUGAGGGGUCCAUCCCGGAUUACCAAUCUCAGAUAAACUCCGAAUGCCAACGAGAUAUAAUCGGCAGUCAGACUGCGAGUGCUAAGAUCCGUAGUCGAAAGGGAAACAGCCCAGACCACCAGCUAAGGUCCCAAAAUAUAUGUUAAGUGGAAAAGGAUGUGGGGUUGCACAGACAACUAGGAUGUUAGCUUAGAAGCAGCUAUUCAUUCAAAGAGUGCGUAAUAGCUCACUAGUCGAGUGACCCUGCGCCGAAAAUGUACCGGGGCUAAAACAUAUUACCGAAGCUGUGGAUACCUUUAUAGGUAUGGUAGGAGAGCGUUCUAUGUGCGAAGAAGGUGUACCGUGAGGAGUGCUGGAACGCAUAGAAGUGAGAAUGCCGGUAUGAGUAGCGAAAGACAGGUGAGAAUCCUGUCCACCGUAAGACUAAGGUUUCCAGGGGAAGGCUCGUCCGCCCUGGGUUAGUCGGGACCUAAGGAGAGACCGAAAGGUGUAUCCGAUGGACAACAGGUUGAUAUUCCUGUACUAGAGUAUAUAGUGAUGGAGGGACGCAGUAGGCUAACUAAACCAGACGAUUGGAAGUGUCUGGCCAAGCAGUGAGGUGUGAUAUGAGUCAAAUGCUUAUAUCUAUAACAUUGAGCUGUGAUGGGGAGCGAAGUUUAGUAGCGAAGUUAGUGAUGUCACACUGCCGAGAAAAGCUUCUAGCGUUAAUUAUACUCUACCCGUACCGCAAACCGACACAGGUAGUCGAGGCGAGUAGCCUCAGGUGAGCGAGAGAACUCUCGUUAAGGAACUCGGCAAAAUGGCCCCGUAACUUCGGGAGAAGGGGCGCUGACUUAUGGUCAGCCGCAGUGAAUAGGCCCAAGCAACUGUUUAUCAAAAACACAGCUCUCUGCUAAAUCGUAAGAUGAUGUAUAGGGGGUGACGCCUGCCCGGUGCUGGAAGGUUAAGAGGAGUGCUUAGCAAUAGCGAAGGUAUGAAUUGAAGCCCCAGUAAACGGCGGCCGUAACUAUAACGGUCCUAAGGUAGCGAAAUUCCUUGUCGGGUAAGUUCC
RNAcentral lists this ribosomal RNA (1431 nucleotides) under human gut metagenome. RNAcentral's name for it is "bacterial LSU rRNA". It matches the Rfam family "Bacterial large subunit ribosomal RNA", at positions 537 to 1984 of the family's 2925-position model. The record is from RNAcentral.